AGAGUUUGAUCAUGGCUCAGGAUGAACGCUAGCGGCAGGCUUAAUACAUGCAAGUCGUGGGGCAGCAGCUUUGUAGCAAUACAGAGGCUGGCGACCGGCAAACGGGUGCGGAACACGUACGCAACCUACCCAUAACUGGGGAAUAGCCCGGGGAAACCCGGAUUAAUACCCCGUAACAUAUUGAUAAGGCAUCUUAUUAAUAUUAUAGCUCCGGCGGUUAUGGAUGGGCGUGCGCCUGAUUAGGUAGUUGGCGGGGUAACGGCCCACCAAGCCUACGAUCAGUAACCGGUGUGAGAGCACGACCAGUCACACGGGCACUGAGACACGGGCCCGACUCCUACGGGAGGCAGCAGUAAGGAAUAUUGGUCAAUGGACGCAAGUCUGAACCAGCCAUGCCGCGUGGAGGAUGAAGGUCCUCUGGAUUGUAAACUUCUUUUAUCUGGGAAGAAACCCAUGAAUUCUUUUGUGGUUGACGGUACCAGAUGAAUAAGCACCGGCUAACUCCGUGCCAGCAGCCGCGGUAAUACGGAGGGUGCAAGCGUUAUCCGGAUUUACUGGGUUUAAAGGGUGCGUAGGCGGAAUGGUAAGUCCGUGGUGAAAUCCCCGAGCUUAACUUGGGAACUGCCAUGGAUACUAUCAAUCUUGAAUAUCAUGGAGGUAAGCGGAAUAUGUCAUGUAGCGGUGAAAUGCUUAGAUAUGACAUAGAACACCAAUUGCGAAGGCAGCUUACUACGCGAUUAUUGACGCUGAGGCACGAAAGCGUGGGGAUCAAACAGGAUUAGAUACCCUAGUAGUCC
RNAcentral lists this ribosomal RNA (797 nucleotides) under uncultured bacterium. RNAcentral's name for it is "bacterial SSU rRNA". It matches the Rfam family "Bacterial small subunit ribosomal RNA", at positions 8 to 796 of the family's 1533-position model. The record is from RNAcentral.